AUUUUUUUUUUUUUUUUUUCUUUGCCGAUGUCCACAACAAACGUUCAAAAGUGUCCGGAAACUUAAAAUCUCAUUCACCAUCAGUUUUCCACCAUCAUGCAGUCUCUUGAGAUACGGUUGAAUGUUGCCUUCUGUCUUGACAGCAAAAGACCUCGUGAGAUAUGGCUCAAGUGGAAAUAGUGCAUCUUGAAUGUGCAGCUCUCCUCAGCUGUCCAGGGCCUUUGGAAGAAAAACAGCCAUGCAACAUCAAAGACACACCAUACUUCACAGUGAGGAAGAGGUACUUUUCUGCAUGACUGUCCUUCUGUUUACACCAAACCAACCUCUUGUAGUUUCUUUUUAUUAUUUUUUAUAGUGUAUAACAAACCUCACCAGGACCGCUACUAAGUGGCUGUUCUGGAAAUUGUGUUUAUAAAAUGUAUUAAUAAUACUGUGAAAAAUGAUACAGAAGGUUAAAUUGGGGAUUUGAUUUAUUCCUGAGAAGAGAGUAGAAGGAAAAUAGAAGCAAAUGAAGAAAAACAAAGAGCUGCCUUUUUAUAAAUACUUAAAACUGACUACGUCUGCAGUUUAGAAGCAUUAGGGACACUAGUAUCUUGCAAUCAUGCACUUGUAAUCUGCAAGAUUGCAACAGUACCAACAAUGUCCACUAGAUGACCAUAUAAUCAUUGAAAAUACCAGGGUAAAUAUACAGUAGGACUGAACCCAGGAUAUCAGAGCCCCCUUUUUAUUUGGUUUAUUAUUUGUGUUUAUUAUCUCUGCGGCCUGAAGCCACAUCCACAGCAAUAGUUAAACAAGUCUCGAAAGAAACCUAAUGAGAAACCAG
Molecule: long non-coding RNA, 823 nt
Organism: Cyprinus carpio carpio
Lineage: Eukaryota; Metazoa; Chordata; Actinopteri; Cypriniformes; Cyprinidae
Source: Ensembl